Molecule: ribosomal RNA, 262 nt
Filed under: uncultured archaeon
Lineage: Archaea
Description: partial 16S ribosomal RNA
Rfam family: Archaeal small subunit ribosomal RNA
Source: RNAcentral
CACUGACAUUAGAUACCCCCGUAGUCCCAGCCGUAAACAAUGUGCGUUAGGUGUGUCGGUAACCACGCGUUACUGAUGCGCCGAAGAGAAAUCGUGAAACGCACCACCUGGGAAGUACGGUCGCAAGGCUGAAACUUAAAGGAAUUGGCGGGGGAGCACCACAACAGGUGGAGCCUGCGGUUUAAUUGGAUUCAACGCCGGACAUCUCACCGGAUAAGACAGCUGAAUGAUUGUCAAUCUGAAGGUUUUACAUGACUAGCUG